RNAcentral lists this long non-coding RNA (1011 nucleotides) under Olea europaea subsp. europaea. Lineage: Eukaryota; Viridiplantae; Streptophyta; Magnoliopsida; Lamiales; Oleaceae. The record is from RNAcentral.
CGUGAACACUAUAGAAUUGCAUCAAUUGGCAGGCUAGGACAUACAUAAGCUGUUCCCUUGAAAUUCCUGGAACUACUCUUGGAGCAAAUUUUCUCCCCAGCUGGGAAGGGGAUGUUUGGGGUUGUAGGGGCGAGAGGGAGUAUGUAUAUGCUGUCACAUUAGGCUUUCUCGAUUAUUGUGUUUUGUGCAUGAGUAUCACAUUGCACUUUGAACUUACAUUCUCAAAUGCACACAUUCUCUUCCAGAUAUCAGGUGCAGCACUAGAGAAUUCAGAUUCCAAAUCCUUCUGAGGUGAUCGUGUAGCUUUAAUAUUGGGCACGCUGGAGCAGAAGCGUGCAGCUGAAAACUUGAUUCAAGCAUUCAUAAUGGCUACUUAAAUUAUGAAGAUACUUUGGUCCACUUAUAUUUGAAAACUGUGGUUCAGUGUUGGUUCUUCCAUCAAUCGUUUAUCCUCUAUUUUAUUUCAUAGGCUUCUGCUGGACUCAGUUUUCUUCUGUUGGGAAUCUUAUGAAGAUGCUUGAAGUUUAAUAGCAUGUUCUGUUUUCAAGCCAUAUAGGUUCUACCAGUGUUGCCUGAUAAAUUCGAUUCAUCCAUGGUAGAUGUUGAUAGGAUGUUUGUCGAGCCUUUGUGCAUCUUACUUCUGAUAUGCUUUUCUGGUGAAUUUGAUGUUGAGUUGAUUGUUAAACUCAUAAUACAAGGAUCCUUCAGUUAGUUCCUAUUCCUUCCUCUCAGCUUCUUCUCCUGUCUUUUGAUAUAUAUGUGAUUGAUCCAGGUCUCUUCCUCGCAUGCCCGUCUGUGCUGUUCAUAUGUAUAGAUGUAAGUGCUAAACGACCCUCUCCUGUUGAAAUGCAGGUUCUAUGAGGCAUUAUCUCGUCCCAAUCUGAAUACUCUUGCUUGAUUGGUACAAGUGUCUAAUGCUUGCUUGAGCCAUGAGACUGCAAUUUCUGAUAAUUCGUAAUUUUCAGUGUACGCUUACCUAUUUACUCUUCCACAAAUACUACUAAAUCAUAC